This is a long non-coding RNA of Mus musculus (house mouse), 2040 nucleotides long. RefSeq annotates it as predicted gene, 36767. The transcript is spliced from 3 exons. The record is from RefSeq and is a predicted model, not a curated record. NCBI's taxonomy places the organism in Eukaryota, Metazoa, Chordata, Mammalia, Rodentia, Muridae.
CGGAGCCCGAGAGGACCCCGUGGCUCUUGGAGGCCGCAGGGGGUCGCGGCCAUCUCGGCGCCCGGCGUACAGUGUGCUCGAAAUGUAAAAGCCAUUGUUGAAAUGGAAGCCUCCACAUGGGCAGAGGAAGACGGUGGGAAAUGAAAAAGGCAACCUGAGGGGGAACCUGGACAAAUGUUAACAAGGAUUCCUAACCCUGGUGUGAAGGCUAACCUCAGGAUUAACUGAGCCUGACCAAGACCCAGUCCCCUCCAGCUGAGGGAUCUUUCCCAGUGAAGUUCCCACUUCCCCACACAGUAAGCUGGAGAGAGCCCUUUGCCACACCUUCAUUUUCAUUUGCAACCCCCCAAUGACCUUUUUGGUUUUCCCAGUAGUGAGGUUCUCUAUCUCCCCCACCCUUUUUCUUCUUUUUCUAUAGUCAGGACUUUAUUACUAGGUCAACAGUGAAAAACUGUCUAGGUCCUGCAUGAUAACAACUAAGACAAGUGUAAAGUGACCUGUCUCCAGGGCGGUAACCUGCAGUUCCUAUGGACUCUCCAUUGCACAAUUAUUCCUGAUAAUAUGUAUGCUUUUUUUUUUUUAAGAAUAAACCAUCUCGGGGCAGUUACAGUUGCAUUAGUGUAUGUUGUGGAAAUACGCUCGCAUUUAGAGGACUUUAUUAGAAACAGCUGGGACGUGAAUGUUUCAAACCUGAGUCUCCUUACCCUCAAUAUCUACUUUCCAUUCUGACUUCCCCGAGAGCAUCCACAUAAUGCAUGCUCUCUGUGUGUAAUACAAGACACUUGUUUAAUAAAGCGAACGAUUGUCUGUGUCAGGGAGAUUGGUCCUCUCUCCCUCUCUCAGCCCAUGUGCAGAGCAGAUCAAAGACCUAAACUACCUCUGUCUUUCUAAAGACAGCCAGAUGGUGUCUUGAUUUUUCUUCAGUUUUUUUUUAAAGCAAUAGAAUUCAAAGCACUAAAGAAUCUGCAUGGGUACAACAGAUGAAAGCUCAUCCCAGGGUAGAGCCAUGAAGAGAGCAGCCGGCAGAAUUGCAGAGCCAUGGGAAAGCAUGAUCAAGGGAAAGCUCUUCCACUCUCAUCCUGAAUGUAGAGUCCUAGAAGAGAGCUGCAGCAUCUGCGGUGUGAACUCCACAGAAGACUGAGAGUCAACUGACUGCGCUGCUCAUCAAAUCAUCGGGCAGGCCUGACAUGGGCAACCAUCAGAAGUAAAUGUUUGAAAAAGGCAAUUCAGCGAAUCGACUAUUCAAAAUCUCUGUCAAAUAUAAGGUGUCUUUUUUGUUUGUUUGUUUGAUUUGAGUUCUAGAAUGAUAGUCAUGAACUAUCACCCACCCCAUCACACCUAGCAUGCACCUAUUGAUUGAUUGAUUAAGAUAGUCUCACUCUGUAGUACAGGCUUGCCUGGAACCCAUUAACUCACUAUAUAUUUGAAACAGGGUUUCAUGUAACCCAAACUUACUUCUAACUUGCUGUUCAGCCAAGACUGGCCUUGAACUCCUGAUCCUCCUGCUUCCACCUCCCAGUUUUUGGAAUUACUGGCUUGCACUACCACCAUGCCUGGCUAUGGUGAUUAUUGAUCCAAAUGAAAGUGGAAUGAAUCCAAAUUUCUCUGUGCAAAGAUGAGAGAGGAUCUCAGAUCUUCAGGAAAUAAAUUAGAGAACUCUGUGGAAGACGUGUUUGAUAAGAGAGGAAUAGAAGAAACAGGUAGAGUGUUUUUAUUUAGCAUAGUUAUAGUGUGUUCUGCAACCUGUCACUGUAGCUGUGAGAAGAGAGUCCACCACAGCAUUGCUCACAAGGAAUGGGUGAUGCAUGUAAUUAAAGAAACAUAAAGGGCUGAGGGCUGGUUCCAACUUAAGUAAAAGGCGUGAAGGAAAAGGGAAGCACUAGAUCCCUUUAAUAAUGAUGGCACUCAACUCAGGGAAGAAGAGUGGCUUUUCUAAAGCAUCAUUAGAUAACACCUUUGAACUUGAAGUGUUAGUGCUCUAAAGGCAUUUGUGAAUUUCUCUUCUGGCUUCUGAGACACUGCCUGUAUUGGUUAGGGUUU